RNA transcript from Cottoperca gobio, 3890 nucleotides. It is a transcript of the gene named synaptotagmin IXb, with no coding region annotated. The transcript has 8 exons. NCBI's taxonomy places the organism in Eukaryota, Metazoa, Chordata, Actinopteri, Perciformes, Bovichtidae. The record is from RefSeq and is a predicted model, not a curated record.
GAGAAAUAAUUGAGCGCAGUGAAAGCCGAGCAUUCAUUCAAGGACCUUGACUGGCAUUGCUAAAGCCUGGAUGCUCAGUGUUGAUUCUGCAGCACCACGUCAGGAGAUAAGAGGGGGAAAGUGAAAAACGAGGGGAUAGAAAGAAGGGAAAGGAAUAAAAGAAAAGGAGAAGAAGAGCGUCUGUUACGCGCUGGACUGGAGCCGUUAUUUCCUUGUUAAACAACGAAAUCACGCGAUUGAUGUUUUUUUAACCGCUGAAAACUUCAGCUUUCACUCAGAAUUCAUCUUAACUCCAGUAAAUUCGGUUUACAUUGGAUUACGUGGAUGCGUCGCACUCACCGGACCUACCCAGACGUGUAGCCGUGGUGCUUCUGGUGCGUCUUUGCGCUGGUAGCGGCUGUGAGCGUGUGUGUGUGUGUGUGUGAGAGAGAGAGAGAGGUGGUGGAGGAUCAGCCGGAGUGGCCGACCAGACAGAAGGAUGCUGGAGGGCAAUGCCUGCAGAAAGAGAGGAUGAGAUUUGUCGAAAGGCGCUGGAACUGCUCUCCGACCUGUGCUCCAAGGGAGAGGUGCAGGACGACCACUGCCUGGAUUUCAUUUACUACUUCAGGGACCUGGCCAGACCGCGAUACACGGACUCAGAUGUAUCGGUGAGCCUGUUGUCCCUGCUGGUGACCACCUGUGGUUUGGCUCUCUUCAGCGUCUCCCUCUUUGUCUCAUGGAAGUUAUGCUGGCUGCCACUGAGUGGCCGCUUUCUCCCAGAUGUCCUCAAGGGGGCGCACUUCCUGGGAGGAGACCAGCAGCCCGUCCUCACAGAGGUGGAUGGGGAGGAAAGGGAGUACAGCGAGGAUGGCUGUGUGAAAGAGCCUUCAGGACCCCCCUUGACUGUGGAUGUCCCGGAGUCAGGCCUAAAGAUAAGCCACACAUCGCCUGACAUACCAUUGGAGACCCAGGCCAAGCUGGAGAAAAAACAAUUUCACACUCUGGCCAGGGACAGGGUCCAGAGACAGAUUACUGAGCCUACCUCGUCUGUACGGCACAACUCCAUCCGUCGUCAGAUGAAUUUGUCCAAUCCAGACUUCAACCCUGCUCAGUUUCAGCGGCAAGAGUCACUGUCUGGUUUGGGUCGAAUCAAACCAGAACUCUACAAGCAGCGAUCGUUGGACGCAGAAGAUGGCAAUCGCACUGACAGCUGCGGACGUCUUUUCUUUGUCCUGAAGUUUGACUUUGACCUGGAGCAGCUGAUUGUGAAGAUCCACAAGGCCCAGGACCUUCCCGCCAAGGACUUCUCAGGGACAUCCGAUCCUUACGUCAAGAUCUACCUGCUGCCUGACCGCAAAACCAAGCACCAGACCAAGGUGCACCGUAAGACACUCAACCCAGUGUUCGAUGAGGUGUUUCUCUUUCCUGUGGCGUACGCCGAGCUGUCGAGUCGUAAGCUCCACUUCAGCGUCUACGACUUUGACAGGUUCUCUCGCCAUGACUUGAUUGGCCAAGUGGUGGUGGACAACUUCCUGGAUCUUGCCGACUUUCCCCGGGAGACAAAACUGUGCCGGGAGAUACAAUAUGUAACCUCGGACAAUGUGGACCUAGGAGAGCUGAUGUUCUCAUUGUGCUAUCUCCCCACGGCUGGCAGGCUCACCAUCACCAUGAUCAAAGCCAGAAAUCUCAAAGCCAUGGACAUCACUGGAGCUUCAGAUCCAUAUGUGAAAGUGUCCCUGAUGUGUGAAGGCCGGAGGCUAAAGAAGAGAAAGACGUCAACCAAGCGUAACACUCUGAACCCAGUGUACAAUGAGGCCAUUGUGUUUGAUGUUCCUCCUGAGAACAUCGACCAGAUUAGCCUGCUCAUAGCUGUCAUGGACUAUGAUCGGUUAAGUCGGACACAAUGAAGUGAUCGGGGUAUGCAGGGUGGGCAAUGAGGCAGAGAGCCUAGGGCGAGACCACUGGAAUGAGAUGUUGUCAUACCCACGGAAACCCAUUGCACACUGGCAUCCACUCAUAGAGUGGGUGGCACAGGGAGCGACGGGGAUUGGAAGCCAAGGGGGAUCUACCAAUUCCCUGAAGACACCACCAUCGCCAUGACCACACACACACACACACACACACACACACACACACACACACACACACACACACACACACACACACACACACACACACACACACACACACACACACACACACACACACACACACACUUCUGGGUUUCCUUCUCUCAGGGUGGUAGAACGAUAGAUGAUGGAGCUAUAUAGUCCAACUGAAAUGUUGAAACAAACAGUACAAGGUAUGACUAACAAGUGACUACAGUAGUAGCAUCAGCUUAAAGCCAUUAAACUGGUGUGUCAUUAGAUGUAUCAAGGCUUUAGUGUGCUGACUGACGCAAAAGCUAAUCCCUACUUUUUACUUCCUCUUGUGUCUCCACAACCAAAAAUCACUUAACUACAUUCCAACUGUGCUACUACAGUACUUUCAUUUGUUAUUUUAAGUUGUUAGUGACAGUAUUAACAGGCCACGCUACGUGUGAUGUGUGUGAGUGAUCAGUUAUCAUAGAUUCAGUAAGAGUUAGACCUGCAAGGUUACAGCAUUAUAAAUGACAUAGAGGGCAUUCCUCUUCAAAUCAACAAAGUUUCAGCUCUCUUGAACAUUUGUUUGGCUGUUGUCUCAAAUAUUCAAAUUUCUCAUGCAUUGUCUCAACUCUGUGGCAGCCAUGCAACGGAGAUGUUCUUAGUGUAAGCCUUAGUUUUGCCUCUAUGGGCGACUUUCUCACAGAACACUUCCUGCAAAGACGUACACUGAAGAGGAUUUGCUUCAAGAAUGUGUAAAGCAGCUGACAGAGGGAACAUAACAAGUUUUAUUUACUGCAUGUUAAAUUGUCAUACUUUGUUAACAGGGUGUGGUCAAAAAAAAGAAAACACAGGUGUUGGUGGUGGCAUUGAAAGGGGCAUUCUGCUGAUCUCCUCAAACGUAAUGUCACAGCUAAUCUCUACGACUACUGAUGAUUUUCACUGAUAUUCUUGGUUUCUAAUGUAAAUGAUAAGUGUGGUUUAUUAUAAUUUGAAUAUUAUAUUUGAUGAUGAUAAUUUAAUAUGAUAACACUGUUAAAUAAAUAGAAAAACCUUAUACUACAAAACAAAGUGCAAUAAAACUGUCAAUGCACACACUAGCAGAACAACAGCACACUUUCCCAACACCACCGAGCCCUCAUGUCCAAACCAACAAUAAAUAUAUUUUCUAUAGACCAACAUUUGCAGCCUGAUCAUACAACUGAUUAUCAAUUUUAAACUGCCUCCUCUGUAUAGCCUUACUGGACAUAACCAGAAAGGAGGACACAACUAACAAUUAAACAAAAAUGACGGACAACUAAUAUUUCUUGUUACACGCCAGGUCUACAGAAAUUAAACAGCCUGAUAAUUCUUAUACAAUUAAUAGCAGAAUAAAGCAUCAUUAAGGCUGACAAUAUGUAGAUUUAUUAACUGCAAAGCGAAUGCAGCCCACAAACACACAUAGGCUUGCCAGUAAUUAGUAUUUCCUUUGCCAUGAGAAGAGUGACUGGAUUGUUUCCAUUCUGAAAACACACUUGCAGCAGCCCUAUUUAACUGUAAUUGGACUUAAUGUUCUUCCUUUAGACCACACCCUGCAGUGUUUGUUUUUUGAAAUUCAGAUUAAUACCAGUAUUGUUUAUGUCUUUGUAUUGGACACUGCCACAAAUAACAAUGACAGUUUCUUCUGUGUUCGUAGGUACAGUGCAUGCAUCAUUUUCCGUGAGUCAUUUUUAUAUCUCUCUUCUGUUGUGAGAUACUAAUCGAAUUGUAAACACAAGAUGUAUUAUGAACUUAAGGCAGACUGUGUAAAUUGUCCAUUCAGAUGUUAUUAAUAAAUAUUUCUAUAUAUAG